This 482-nucleotide ribosomal RNA is filed under the name uncultured bacterium. RNAcentral's name for it is "partial 16S ribosomal RNA". It matches the Rfam family "Bacterial small subunit ribosomal RNA", at positions 30 to 507 of the family's 1533-position model. The record is from RNAcentral.
AUUGAACGCUGGCGGCAUGCUUUACUCAUGCAAGUCGAACGGUAACAGGCCGCAAGGUGCUGACGAGUGGCGAACGGGUGAGUAAUGCAUCGGAACGUGCACAGUCGUGGGGGAUAACUACUCGAAAGAGUAGCUAAUACCGCAUACGAUCUAUGGAUGAAAGCGGGGGACCGUAAGGCCUCGCGCGAUUGGAGCGGCCGAUGUCAGAUUAGGUAGUUGGUGGGGUAAAGGCUCACCAAGCCAACGAUCUGUAGCUGGUCUGAGAGGACGACCAGCCACACUGGGACUGAGACACGGCCCAGACUCCUACGGGAGGCAGCAGUGGGGAAUUUUGGACAAUGGGCGCAAGCCUGAUCCAGCAAUGCCGCGUGCAGGAAGAAGGCCUUCGGGUUGUAAACUGCUUUUGUACGGAACGAAACGGCUCUGGUUAAUACCCGGGGCUAAUGACGGUACCGUAAGAAUAAGCACCGGCUAACUACGUG